GAUGAACGCUGGCGGCGUGCUUAACACAUGCAAGUCGAACGGUGAACACGGAGCUUGCUCUGUGGGAUCAGUGGCGAACGGGUGAGUAACACGUGAGCAACCUGCCCCUGACUCUGGGAUAAGCGCUGGAAACGGCGUCUAAUACUGGAUAUGUGACGUGACCGCAUGGUCUGCGUUUGGAAAGAUUUUUCGGUUGGGGAUGGGCUCGCGGCCUAUCAGCUUGUUGGUGAGGUAAUGGCUCACCAAGGCGUCGACGGGUAGCCGGCCUGAGAGGGUGACCGGCCACACUGGGAUUGAGACACGGCCCAGACUCCUACGGGAGGCAGCAGUGGGGAAUAUUGCACAAUGGGCGAAAGCCUGAUGCAGCAACGCCGCGUGAGUGAUGACGGCCUUCGGGUUGUAAACCUUUUUUAGCAGGGAAGAAGCGAAAGUGACGGUACCUGCAGAAAAAGCGCCGGCUAACUACGUG
Molecule: ribosomal RNA, 469 nt
Filed under: uncultured bacterium
Lineage: Bacteria
Description: partial 16S ribosomal RNA
Rfam family: Bacterial small subunit ribosomal RNA
Source: RNAcentral